Acanthosepion pharaonis is the source of this 108-nucleotide non-coding RNA. The record is from the annotation of a GenBank genome assembly. NCBI's taxonomy places the organism in Eukaryota, Metazoa, Mollusca, Cephalopoda, Sepiida, Sepiidae.
UUGAGAUCAAAUCAAACUGAAAAUACCUGUUCCCGUUCGAUAACCGAAGUUAAGCCCUGUCGUGCCUUGGACAGUACUUAAAUGAGGGACCGCUUGCGAACAACGGUA